RNAcentral lists this ribosomal RNA (404 nucleotides) under Fusobacteriota bacterium. Its description in RNAcentral is "Fusobacteria bacterium partial 16S ribosomal RNA". It matches the Rfam family "Bacterial small subunit ribosomal RNA", at positions 355 to 776 of the family's 1533-position model. Lineage: Bacteria; Fusobacteriati; Fusobacteriota. The record is from RNAcentral.
UGGGGAAUAUUGCACAAUGGAGGGAACUCUGAUGCAGCGACGCCGCGUGAGUGAUGAAGGAAUUCGUUUCGUAAAACUCUGUUCUAUGGGAAGAAAAGGACUGUACCAUAGGAGAAAGCUCCGGCUAAAUACGUGCCAGCAGCCGCGGUAAUACGUAUGGAGCGAGCGUUGUCCGGAAUUAUUGGGCGUAAAGGGUGCGCAGGCGGCUUUACAAGUUGGAUGUGAAUUAUUGUGGCUCAACCACAAACGUGCAUCCAAAACUGCAAAGCUUGAGUUAAGGAGAGGUAAGUGGAAUUCCUGGUGUAGCGGUGGAAUGCGUAGAUAUCAGGAGGAAUACCGGUGGCGAAGGCGACUUACUGGACUUAAACUGACGCUCAGGCACGAAAGCGUGGGGAGCAAACAGG